Molecule: ribosomal RNA, 253 nt
Filed under: uncultured bacterium
Lineage: Bacteria
Description: partial 16S ribosomal RNA
Rfam family: Bacterial small subunit ribosomal RNA
Source: RNAcentral
UACGGGGGGAGCAAGCGUUGUUCGGAUUUACUGGGCGUAAAGGGUGCGUAGGCGGCGAGGCAAGUCUGGUGUGAAAUCCCGGGGCUCAACCCCGGAACUGCACUGGAUACUGCUUUGCUAGAGUACUGGAGAGGGAACUGGAAUUUACGGUGUAGCAGUGAAAUGCGUAGAUAUCGUAGGGAAGACCAGCGGCGAAGGCGAGUUCCUGGACAGUUACUGACGCUGAGGCACGAAGGCCAGGGGAGCAAACGGG